RNAcentral lists this long non-coding RNA (282 nucleotides) under Setaria italica (foxtail millet). RNAcentral's name for it is "long non-coding RNA (SITA_LNC005319)". The record is from RNAcentral. Lineage: Eukaryota; Viridiplantae; Streptophyta; Magnoliopsida; Poales; Poaceae.
UCCGGUGAGCGAAGAUGUCGACGUGCGCGGCGGACCUUGCGCCGCUGCUGGGCCCGGCGGCGGCGAACGCCACGGACUACCUCUGCAGCCAGUUCACGGACACGGCCUCGGCGGUGGACGCCACGUACCUGCUCUUCUCGGCGUACCUCGUCUUCGCCAUGCAGCUCGGCUUCGCCAUGCUCUGCGCGGGCUCCGUCCGCGCCAAGAACACCAUGAACAUCAUGCUCACCAACGUGCUCGACGCCGCGGCGGGGGCGCUCUUCUACUACCUCUUCGGCUUCG